CCACACCAGCCUAUGGCCCUCUCAGUAAAAUUUCCCAUAGGAGCUGUUUAGAAUGACAGCUCCUGAUUGCAGUACAUUGAGCUCCAUAGAGACAGCGCCGGGGCAAGCGAGAGCCGGACGGUCACUGGGCGACUCUGUGCCUCACGGAGGAAAAUCAACUAAACAUGGGCAAAGGAGAUCCUAAGAAGCCUAGCGGCAAAAUGUCCUCAUAUGCAUUCUUUGUGCAAUUUUGCCGGGAGGAGCACAAGAAGAAGCACCGGGAUGCUUCUGUCAACUUCUCAGAGUUCUCCAAGAAGUGCUCAGAGAGGUGGAAGACCAUUUCUGCUAAAGAAAAGGGGAAAUUUGAAGAUAUGGCAAAGGCUGACAAGGCUCGUUAUGAAAGAGAAAUGAAAACCUACAUCCCCCCCAAAGGGGAGACCAAAAAGAAGUUCAAGGACCCCAAUGCACCCAAGAGGCCUCCUUCGGCCUUCUUCUUGUUCUGUUCUGAGUACCUCCCUAAAAUCAAAGGCGAGCAUCCUGGCUUAUCCAUUGGUGAUGUUGCAAAGAAACUAGGAGAGAUGUGGAACAACAUUGCAGCUGAUGACAAGCAGCCCUAUGACAAGAAGGCUGCCAAGCUGAAGGAGAAGUACGAGAAGGAUAUUGCUGCCUACAGAGCUAAAGGA
Mastomys coucha (southern multimammate mouse) is the source of this 662-nucleotide RNA transcript. It is a transcript of the gene named high mobility group protein B1 pseudogene, with no coding region annotated. NCBI's taxonomy places the organism in Eukaryota, Metazoa, Chordata, Mammalia, Rodentia, Muridae. The transcript has a single exon. The record is from RefSeq and is a predicted model, not a curated record.